UACGUAGGGUGCAAGCGUUGUCCGGAUUUAUUGGGCUUAAAGGGUGCGUAGGCGGGGUCUCAAGUCUGGUUUGAAAGUUAGCUGCUCAACAGUUAGACGUGGCUGGAAACUGGGAUUCUGGAAUGGGGUGGCGGCUGCCGGAACGGCUGAUGUAGCGGUGAAAUGCAUAGAUAUGACCCAGAACACCGAUUGCGAAGGCAGGCAGCUGCGACCUGAUUGACACUGAGGCACGAGAGCAUGGGUAGCGAACAGG
RNAcentral lists this ribosomal RNA (253 nucleotides) under uncultured bacterium. RNAcentral's name for it is "partial 16S ribosomal RNA". It matches the Rfam family "Bacterial small subunit ribosomal RNA", at positions 524 to 776 of the family's 1533-position model. The record is from RNAcentral.